CUGCAAGCAAAAGACACAAGAGCAUGCUUUCCUACUGAAUUUUGCAAGAAGGAAAACAGACUCCCUCCUGCUGAUGUGGGGAAGCAAUGCUAAAUCUCCCUAAAGAUUCACUCUGGCUUCUUACAGCUUGACUGUUCCUGGAGCACUUGGGGAAACAUGUUUUGCUUUGGGAAAUAAAAGGAGAAAAAAAAAAUCCUCUGUCCUAACCAAUUAAGACUUCACAGAAAGAAGUCAUGAGCUCAGAU
Molecule: long non-coding RNA, 245 nt
Filed under: Manacus vitellinus (golden-collared manakin)
Lineage: Eukaryota; Metazoa; Chordata; Aves; Passeriformes; Pipridae
Description: lncRNA (ENSMVIG00005012231.1)
Source: RNAcentral